This 494-nucleotide ribosomal RNA is filed under the name uncultured bacterium. RNAcentral's name for it is "partial 16S ribosomal RNA". It matches the Rfam family "Bacterial small subunit ribosomal RNA", at positions 28 to 507 of the family's 1533-position model. The record is from RNAcentral.
GACGAACGCUGGCGGCGUGCUUAACACAUGCAAGUCGAACGGAAAGGCCUGCUUUCCCUUGUGGAUUGCGGGUACUCGAGUGGCGAACGGGUGAGUAACACGUGAGUGAUCUGCCCCCAACUUGGGUAUAAGCCUGGGAAACUGGGUCUAAUUCCCGAUAGGACUGCAGGGUGGUGCCUGUGGUGGAAAACGAUUUUCUAGUGGUUGGGGAUGAGCGCGCGGCCUAUCAGCUGGUUGGUGGGGUAAUGGCCUACCAAGGCGGCGACGGGUAGCCGGCCUGAGAGGGUGGACGGCCACAUUGGGACUGAGAGACGGCCCAGAGUCCUACGGGAGGCAGCAGUGGGGAAUAUUGCACGAUGGGCGGAAGCCUGAUGCAGCGACGCCGCGUGGGGGAUGACGGCCUUCGGGUUGUAAACUCCUUUCGACCGCGAGGAAGCCACCUGGUUGGAAGGGUGGUGACGGUAGUGGUAGAAGAAGCACCGGCUAACUACGUG